GAAAUGCGAUAAGUAAUGUGAAUUGCAGAAUUCAGUGAAUCAUCGAAUCUUUGAACGCACAUUGCGCCCGCCAGUAUUCUGGCGGGCAUGCCUGUCCGAGCGUCAUUUCAACCAUCAAGCCCCCGGGCUUGUGUUGGGGACCUGCGGCUGCCCGCAGGCCCUGAAAACCAGUGGCGGGCUCGCUGUCACACCGAGCGUAGUAGCAAUCACCUCGCUCAGGGCGUGCUGCGGGUUCCGGCCGUUAAACAGCCUUACAAAACCCAAGGUUGACCUCGGAUCAGGUAGAAAGACCCGCUGAACUUAGGC
RNAcentral lists this unclassified non-coding RNA (306 nucleotides) under plant metagenome. RNAcentral describes it as "partial contains 5.8S ribosomal RNA, internal transcribed spacer 2, and large subunit ribosomal RNA". The stretch from base 1 to 105 matches the Rfam family "5.8S ribosomal RNA", at positions 50 to 154 of the family's 154-position model. The record is from RNAcentral.